CUCUCUUCUCCUCUAGAAUUCUAUUUAAAAUAAAAUACUAAUAUCUAAAAUAUUAAAUUCGUAAUUACAAAAAUAACCAAAAAUACAAAACACGUUAAACUAAAAACUGCAGGUCCGUAGUUGACAGCACGCGCCCACGCCUUAUCAACAAAGUUCUUCUGCCGCUCAUAAUUUCUCCAAGAGAACAAUCAUCCUUAAACAUCAUCUUGUAGCUCAAUUUUAUCACCAAUUAAUAGAAUUGCACCUACAAAAGUAAAUCACAAGUAAAUCACUAUUAUUAAGUGCAAAACAUGAUAUUAAGGGAAGUAAACAAUGCAAAACUAGUGCAUAAAUUGCACUCUAACAAAUUCCCCCACACCAAGAUGAUGCUUGUCCUCAAGCAUCUAACUCAAGACUAAUCUCAAAUCUCCACUAAAUUCUCAUCUCAACUCAUCCAAAAACAAUUUUAAGCAAGUAUACCUCAAGAAAUUAAGUCGAUCAACAUUCGAGAGACAAGGAUUUUAAAGCAUAGAAUCUCAUAAGAUAGAAUAAGAACAUUCAACCACUAAGAAGAUCCAUUCAAAAUUCAAGUGCAACAAGAUUGAAUAGCCCUCUCAUUGACUUCACUCCAUGCACUCAAAGUGUUUAGGGUGUCAUUUAUUCACUCAAAUCAAAUCAAAGAAUGCUAUUACCAUAAACUUGCUCAUAUAUCACAUCUCAAUCCACAAAACAUGAAUAAAAUGCAAGAAUCUAAGGGUUUUAAAAGGGUUGUAAUGGGGUUAAAUAGGUUAAAUGAAAAAGAAAAGUUUACGAAAGAAAAAGAGAUCAAAAUGAGAAGAAAAGUUUACGAAAGAAAAAGAGAUCAAAAUGAGAAGAAUGAACUCAUUGAAUGAACUUAUGAUAUCAAAUGUUUAUUUCUACUCAAGUCACCAAGAAUGUAAACUUUUUUUUUUCGAUUUUUCUUUUUCUCUUUUUUUUACAAAAGAAACGAACCUUGCACAAUUUAAUUCAAGCAUAAUGCUUGUUGAUCUAAUUGAGAAACUUUAAUACAAGGUAGAAAAAGCAACAAAAUAUAUCCACACAAUGAGUCCAAAAAUCUCCUUAAAUUGAGGCUCAAAAAGAAGAAAAAUGGUUAAGUAAAUUGAGGCUCAAAAAGAAGAAAAAUGGUUAAGUAGACGGAGAGAAUUAGAUGGGUAAUGGUUAAGGCUCAAACAAAGAUAGCAAAUAAAGAUCUUCGGGUAGAGAAAAAAAAAAGCGAGAAUAGAAAAAUGGAAAAGGGUUUGCCCUUAUCAUUUUAAUGCAAAAAAUCCCGUAAUGCGGCUUCAACAUGCAUAACAAAGCAAGUUCUAGAAUAAACAAACUAAGAUUGAUAUUCACAUAACAAAAAUAUUAGAGCAAAGUGGUUGCUCAUAGGCUCAAAUCCUCACAAAGUUGGUAAAUUUGCCAUCAAAUCAUGUACACUCUUCAAAUGAAUCAACCAUCAAUAGUGGUGUAGAAUGAGAAGAAGGUAGGAGUGAUAUAUAAAAGGAAAUGUAAAAAUGAUAAGAAGUGAGAAAGAUGUAUGUAGAAUAUGAAAAGUGAAAGAUAAAAUGUGAGUGAUGAAAAAGUAUGAUAGAAUAAAAAUAGAUGUAAAUAAUUUGAGAUAGAUGGAAAAAGAGUAGUGAGAAAGAAAAGAAAAGAAAAAUAAUAAUAUAUGAAGCAUACUAACUCCAAAAUCAUUUAAGGAUGAGUAGAGUGAAAAUAGAUGAGUAGAGUGAAAAUAAUACUUUCAGACAUCAAUAAUGCAAAAAUCUCUCCCCCACGCUAAGAACUUACAUUGUCCCUAAUGUAAGAUAAUCAAAGCUCACAUAAAAGAUUAAAAGCAAAAACUUCCUGAAUUAUGAGCUUUGAUCCUCAUAAAGUCUAUGGACUUGGCGGAAAUGGUGGGAUAAAUCCCACACUCUCGAAGUAUGCAGCCAAAUUCUGCUCCAUCUUGUUCAGCUUGUGCUCCAUUUUCUCUAACUGAAUGCUCAAAGGUGGUGCGGAUGNNNNNNNNNNNNNNNNNNNNNNNNNNNNNNNNNNNNNNNNNNNNNNNNNNNNNNNNNNNNNNNNNNNNNNNNNNNNNNNNNNUUUCUCUUGUUGAGUCGUGAAUGCGAGGCACCCUCCGAGAUUGGAUUCCGCAAGUGGCAAAACACUCAUGCCUUUUCCAUGUUUCGAUCUUUGUCUCACAGCUUGGCGUGAAUCUGAAACUGUGUUCCAUGGAACCGUAGUGGGAGCGGCAAUCUUGGAUUUCUUUGCGACGGGUAUCUUUUUAGAUGACUUGAAAGUUGAUGCUUUCCUCUUCGGCAUUGUUACAAUAAUUUCACUCACGAAUUUCGAUUCACUCGGCUGGAAUACAGGGCGUAGGCUGGUUGCAGACGAUUGCUGCUCGGCUGGAGCUUGGCGCAAUGGUGGAUCGCUGGUUGCGCGCUGGUGACGAUGGUUGCGUGCGGGAUGCUGCGCGCUGGGGCUGAUUCUGCUGCGCGCUGCUGGGGCUGGUUCUGCUGCGCUAGUGGGCUGCUGGAUCUGCGCGCUGGGGUUGAUUACACGCGAGAGCUGGGCUGACGCUGGUUCUGCGCGCUGCUGGGCAAAGGCUGGAUCUGCGUGCGUGGGUUGCUGCGUGGCUGCUCGGUGAAGGCUGGAUCUGCGCGCGCGCGGGAUGGAGCUGGUUGCGCGCACAGUUGCUGCUGCUGCUGCGUGGGCUGGUUUGCGAUGGUGGAUUGUGGUGCUGCGUGGCUGCUCGGUGAAGGCUGGAGAAGAAAACCAAUUCUGUGAAUUAGGGAUUUUGUGAACAGUAAAUUUUUUUUUCAAAUAAAAAAUAUAUAUAUAUAUAAAAGAAAGAAAAGAAAGAAAAAAAAAGUUUUUUUUUCGUUUUUUUAUUUUCAAAUAAAUAAAUAAUUUUUUUUUUUUUAUGAUGAACCACUUUGAGACACAAAAAAUAAAUUUCAGAAGUACUUUUCUAAUAAGCACGUGGGCACGCCUUAAAACCAUUUUGCGUUAAAAAUCACAGAAGUACUUAUUAGUUAAGACGUGGGCACGCCUUAUAAAAAAUUUUCUUCUGACCAAAAUAAGCAAACACAUUAUUUUUUUUAAAAAAAAAAUCUGAAUCAAAAUUAAAAGAAGAUAUAACAAAAACCAAAAUAAAUAAAUCAUUUGGGUUGCCUCCCAAAAAGCGCCUUUGUUUUAUGUCUUUGGCUAGACACAUUUAUGCAUCAAUCUCCAUAAUUGGGACUCUCGAGAGCCACAUCCUCCACAAUAUUCACCGAAAAACCUUUAUAAAAAAGGUUUUAAGCGAUGACCGUUAACCUUAAAAACUUUGUCAGAGGUCGGACUCCGAAUCUCAACUGCACCAUGAGGAAAAACAUUAGUAACAAUAAAAGGUCCAACCCAACAAGAACGUAAUUUACCCGGAAAAAGUUUAAGCUUAGAAUGAAAAAGAAGAACUUUUUGACCAACGGAGAACUCCUUUCUCAAAAUCAUUCUAUCAUGAAAUGUCUUCGUUUUUUCCUUGUAAAAAACUUCCUGCACUAUAGGGUUAAUAACAUCCACAGAAAAUACCGAAUGUUCCUCACUAGGAUAUUUCAUGGCAUCAUUCAUAUUGAAUUCUAUAACCUCUCCAUCAAAUUCCAUAGUGAGAGUCCCUUUAUGUACAUCCAUUUUAGUCUUAGCAGUCUUAAGAAAAGGUCUUCCUAGCAAAAUUGGGACAAAAUUGGAGGAGUUAUCCUCUUCCAUAUCAAGUACAUAAAAAUCAGCAGGAAAAACCAACUCAUUAACUUGUACUAAGACAUCUUCUAAUACCCCAUCAGGAUAUGCAUUAGACCUAUCAGCUAGUUGAAUUAUCACGCCAGUUUCUUUUAAUGGACCAACAUUCAAAGAUGAAUAAAUGGAACGAGGCAUGACAUUAAUAGAAGCUCCUAGAUCUAACAAAGCCUUUUCAAUUCUAACACUACCAAUUUUACAAGGGAUAGUAAACAUACCUGGAUCCUUGCACUUAGGAGGUAGUUUCUUUUGGAGAACUGCUGAAACAUUCUCCCCCAUGUGAACUUUUUCAUCUCCUCUUAAUUUUCUCUUAGAGGUGCAUAGUUCCUUAAGGACUUUAGCAUAUUGAGGUAUUUGUUUUAUAGCAUCUAAUAAAGGAAUAUUUACCUCAACCUUGCGAAAUGUCUCAAGGAUGUCUUUCUCUUGUUCCUCCUUCUUGGAUUUUGCAAACCGACUUGGAAAAGGAGGAGGUAUCACAAUAGGUAGGGGUUUCGCUCUGGUGGGUUCCGCAUCUUGAGAUUGAGGCAUCAAUUCAUUCUUUUCAAGCUCAUCUUCUACAUGUUUUGUCACUUUUUUACUAGGUUCUUGCAACUCCUUCCCACUUCUAAGGAUGACAGCACUAACGUUUUGCUUUGGAUUCACCUCAGAUUGUGAAGGCAAUCUCCCUAAUACUUGAGACUUCAGACGGCUCACUGUAGUCGCCAAUUGACUCAUUUGGUUCUCCAAAUUCUGAAUGCUUGCUGUAGUUGCCUGCUGAAAUUGUUGAGUGUUAGUCGCAAGUGAUUUAACAAUUUCUUCAAGAGAUAUACCUGACUUGGAGUUUGACUGUGGAGGUGCUGGUUGUCUUGGUGGAUACUGUUGUGGGAAUCCUGACGGCCUAACUCCAUAGCUGAAGUUAGGAUGAUCCUUCUAUCCCGGAUUGUAUGUUUGUGCAUAAGGAUCAUACCUCCUCUGAAGCAUGCCUGGAAAUCCUCCAGCUGCAUUAGCUUGCUCAACGAGUUCUUCUUGAAGGGUAGGACAUAUAUCAGUUGAAUGACCCAUAUUGUAACAAAUGCCACAAGUCUUCACCUAUUGCACAUUACCUACAACAAACUUUUCCACAAGAGAAGUAAGUUUAUCUAAACGUUGUUCAACAGAAGAAAUAUUUACCUCAUUCACAUUCCUUGAAGUGGGAUCUUGCCUGCUGCCAAAUUGUUGUGCAUUGGCAGCCAUAUUUGAGAUCAACUCUCUUGCUUGAGUAGGGGUUUUGUUCACCAACACACCUCCACUAGCAGCAUCUAUCAUACUCCUAUCAAUUAAUGAUAGUCCUUCGUAAAAAUAUUGAAUAAGAAGUUGAUCAGAAAUCUAAUGCUGAGGACAGCUGGCACACAAUUGUUUGAAUCGCUCCUAAUACUCAUACAAAGUCUCCCUAGGAAGUUGUCUGAUCCCACAAAUAUCUUUUCUGAUGUUUGCAGCUCUUGAAGCAGGAAAGUACUUCUCGAGGAACUGCUUCUUCAAACCAUUCCAUGUUGUAAUCGAUCCAGGAGGCAAGUAGUACAACCAAUCUUUAGCUAGUCCAUCUAAAGAGAAAGGAAAAACACGCAGCUUAAUCUGCUCUUCAGUCACGCCUUGUGGUCUCAUACUUGAACAUACAACAUGAAACUCCUUGAGAUGUUUAUAAGGAUCUUCACCUGCAAAACCAUGAAACUUGGGUAAUAAAUGAAUAAGACCAGACUUUAAUUCAAAAUUUACCUCCAAGUCUACAUAUUGAAUGCAGAGUGGUUGUUGAUUCAAGUCUGGUUCAGCUAACUCUCUAAGAGUUCUUUCUACAGGUGCAGGUCUAUCCAUCACUUGUUCUUCUGAAUCGCUAGAUGAUUCAACUAAAUCAGGCACCGUAUCUGUUUCAGAAAGCAAAGGCAACGAGGAUCGUUACUUAGCUCGCUUCGUCUGCUGUCUCAACUGGCGAGCUGUCUUCUCAAUUUCAGGAUCAAACGAAAGUGUACCUGUACGAGAAGAACGAACCAUACACCAAGUAAAACGUAAAAAGGAUUAAAUAAAUGACACCAAUCCCCAGCAACGGCGCCAAAAUUUGAUGGGUGUCGAAGCCAACAAAAAUAAAUUCCUACUCUAAAUAAAUUGUGUAUAGUGAUUGAGCAGGGUCGUGUCCACAGAGAUCGGUAAUUAUUUAAAUCCUUCUAAAACGUAAAACAUAAAAUAGGGGUUUUGUUGACAAUAAUAAAAAUCAAAUUAAAAUAACAAGAAUGCAAAUUAAAGUUGUAAUUCAAAUUGGAGAAAGCUCUGGUUGAAGGAAUUAACUCAGCUUCAUUCGACUACUGAUCAUUGAUUCAAAUAUAGAUUAUUAUUACUUAUGAAUAGACCGGUUAUAGCUAUUGAGACCCUCUAAUAGCCAAUCUCUCCUUAAAUAGUCGAUAACCAAGAUACGACCGUUGGAUAUUUCCCUAAUCAAUAGACAACCCUAGAUACGAUCAUAGGAUUUAAUCAAUUGACAACCUGAAAAACCAGAGAGACCCAAAUCCUAAUCAACACAUAUGAUGAUUCAUUUAAAUUAGAUUGUUUAUUCUCAUAACACAACUCACUGCUAUGUUAUUUGUCAUAAACAUUAAAAUCUUCAUACGAUGAAUCCUUUAAUUGACAAUAGAUUAAGUUGAUAAUUAAAUAGUGGCCAAUUACCUAAUUAACAAACAUAAUCAUGAAACUAAUUCAGAGAAUAAACAAAUACCCAAAAAGUAAUAAAACAAUUAAAGCAUAAGAAAGAUCUCACAGUAGUGAUGAAUCAAAGCUUCAUUAACCUUCAACCAGAAAAAUAGGUUUAGUUCUUCAUAGAGAGAAGAGAAAAGUUUAGAUCUAGGGUUUUCUUCUCUUUCUCCCCUCCAAAAUCCCCCUUUUUCACAAUAGAUUCCUCUCUUAAAUACUCUCUCUCUCUUCUCCUCUAGAAUUCUAUUUAAAAUAAAAUACUAAUAUCUAAAAUAUUAAAUUCGUAAUUACAAAAAUAACCAAAAAUACAAAACACGUUAAACUAAAAACUGCAGGUCCGUAGUUGACAGCACGCGCCCACGCCUUAUCAACAAAGUUCUUCUGCCGCUCAUAAUUUCUCCAAGAGAACAAUCAUCCUUAAACAUCAUCUUGUAGCU
Molecule: long non-coding RNA, 6887 nt
Filed under: Citrus x clementina
Lineage: Eukaryota; Viridiplantae; Streptophyta; Magnoliopsida; Sapindales; Rutaceae
Description: Citrus clementina (C. clementina) long non-coding RNA (CCLE_LNC002357)
Source: RNAcentral